Molecule: long non-coding RNA, 1370 nt
Filed under: Equus asinus (donkey)
Lineage: Eukaryota; Metazoa; Chordata; Mammalia; Perissodactyla; Equidae
Description: lncRNA (ENSEASG00005034184.1)
Source: RNAcentral
CGUUCUCUGUCCUCUCCAUUGAAUGCUUCUCUAGCACGGAAGGCUAGUUUGGAGUAUUUCUCCAGGUCAUUGUGAAUUCUUCCAAAAUUAGGUUUUCCAGGAGCCGUGAAAGGGCGCAUUGUUCGGCGCGCCGUUCAGCUCCUUGCUAAGCCCUGUUCCCGGCUCGGCCUUUGCAUCGGUUCUCUUCUCUUCUCUUCCAGUAACACAAUAGGCACUAUCUUUGCAUACAUCUUCUUGCAGGAAUGUUGUCCAUUUCUUGGGUUCCUGUUUUUAAAAAGUUUUCUCCGUUAUAGAAAACUUGGAAAAGCUGGAGAAAAUAGUAAGGAAAAGGAGUGCCCUGGAGUCCCCCCGAGUGGCUCUGGGCGGGGGGCGCGGGCUGAGCGUGUUGUGGACCGGGAGACCCAGUGGCUUUACCCAGAGCGGCACAUCCACAUGGCCCGGCGAUCCCCGGGGCCGAGCCCGCGGUCCGGCCGCAGACGCCUCCCUCCCCGCGACCCAGACAGCGCUUCCUCCCCCCUCCCCAGCUCUCUGGUGGCCUGCCUCUGCUGUGUGCUUGUCCCCAGACUUCCGGCCACUUCCUUAGGACUCGUUCCUGAGAGGCCAUCAGGGUCAAAAGAUGGAGAAGCUGAGGCCCAGAGAGGUUGAGUAACCAGCUCAAGGUUGCACAGCGAGUAUGUAGCAGUGUUGGGUUUUGAGUCCAGAGUGUCUGGCCCCUGAGUUCGUGCUCUUAAACACAAUUCUCUGCUGCGUGUGGAGCUUGCUUUUUAACAGCCAAGCAGAGCUCCACAGCGUCGUUUAGUCAGCCAUUACCCGAUUGGUGAGUGUCGUGGCUUCCGAUUUUCUGAAACAAUCGGGGGUGGAUCCAGGUUUUGUGGGGCCUGAAGCUCCUACAAUUUUGGGGGCCCUCUUUGGGAAAAACUACAGAACUGCAAACACAAGUAGGGGCGGGGCCUGAACAAGCCAGGGGGCCUGAGGCUCCGGCGGCCGGAGCAUCGCGGGACACCCGCCUUUGCCGCCCGGACCGCAGGGCCCCCGGGAACCGCGUGCGCCUCUGCGCAUGUGCGCGAGGGCCGGCAGGACGCGUGCUGGAGGCGGGGUCUGCGCCUGGACGGGAUGCUCGGGGAGCCGUGGCUGAGGGUCUUUAUCAGGACGCCAACCGGGCAGGAGAGCGGGACACACUGCAGGGCCGCGCGGGCGAGAACUUCUGCCCAGCAACGGGCACCACUCAACGAGCGCUGGCGUCCGGGAUACAGAAGGAGCUCCCCCAAGUCAGGGAGGACAAGGCGGACCGGCAGAAAACAGGCCAAACGCUUAAACGGACGAGGCCCCAGAGAGGCCGUGGGGACAGACCCGCAGCCGGGGCCACGCGG